RNAcentral lists this ribosomal RNA (591 nucleotides) under uncultured bacterium. RNAcentral's name for it is "partial 16S ribosomal RNA". It matches the Rfam family "Bacterial small subunit ribosomal RNA", at positions 355 to 941 of the family's 1533-position model. The record is from RNAcentral.
UGGGGAAUCUUCCGCAAUGGACGAAAGUCUGACGGAGCAACGCCGCGUGAGUGAAGAAGGUUUUCGGAUCGUAAAACUCUGUCUUUUGGGGCGAACGUGAGUAUGGUGAACAAUCAUAGUCAGUGACGGUACCAAAGGAGGAAGCCACGGCUAACUACGUGCCAGCAGCCGCGGUAAUACGUAGGUGGCAAGCGUUGUCCGGAAUUAUUGGGCGUAAAGAGCGCGUAGGCGGGAUAGUCAGUCUGUUGUAAAGUGCGGGGCUCAACCCCGUGAUGGCAAUGGAAACAGCUAUUCUUGAGUGCAGGAGAGGAAAGUGGAAUUCCCAGUGUAGCGGUGAAAUGCGUAGAUAUUGGGAGGAACACCAGUGGCGAAGGCGACUUUCUGGACUGUGUCUGACGCUGAGGCGCGAAAGCCAGGGGAGCGAACGGGAUUAGAUACCCCGGUAGUCCUGGGCCGUAAAACGAUGGGUACUAGGUGUGGGAGGUAUCGACCCCUUCCGUGCCGGAGUUAACGCAAUAAGUACCCCGCCUGGGGAGUACGGUCGCAAAACUGAAACUUAAAUGAAUUGACGGGGGUCAUAGCUGUUUCCUG